GGGAAGGUGGCUCAGUGGUAGAGUGCUUGCCUUGCAUGCAUGAGACUCUGGGUUCGAUUCUUCACCAUGACA
This is a non-coding RNA of Dipodomys ordii (Ord's kangaroo rat), 72 nucleotides long. NCBI's taxonomy places the organism in Eukaryota, Metazoa, Chordata, Mammalia, Rodentia, Heteromyidae. The record is from Rfam.